AAAAAGUGCUCAUUUUUCGAAGCCAAAAUUGGAUUUAAAAUACAGAGAAGAUUAGCAUGGCCCUGCACAAGGACAACAUUCAAAUGUUCUCUUCUUCUUCUCUUUCUU
This is a small nuclear RNA of Onychomys torridus (southern grasshopper mouse), 108 nucleotides long. NCBI's taxonomy places the organism in Eukaryota, Metazoa, Chordata, Mammalia, Rodentia, Cricetidae. The record is from RefSeq and is a predicted model, not a curated record.